AAGUCGUAACAAGGUUUCCGUAGGUGAACCUGCGGAAGGAUCAUUAACACGUAUCCACGUAUCAACCAACCAGAGAACAGUUUUCUUUCUCCCUGUACGGAAAAAGGCAUGGAAUUAACCGCACGAGGGGCUUGGCGGGGUGGAAACACCUACCUUCGUGUCGCCAUACAAACAUGCGUAUUUCACAUCAGGCUAGUUCCGACUCCAUUUCUGUCCGACCGAAGUGUUGGAGGAGGACACCCACAUAUUAACGAUAAUCACCACCUUUUUGCUAGUUGACUUUUAUAUGUUGUAUUUUCUUCGGAAAGUGCACACGUUUAAUUAUUUGAACGUUAAAAAUACAACUCUUAGCAAUGGAUAUCUUGGUUCUC
This 371-nucleotide unclassified non-coding RNA is filed under the name fungal sp. RNAcentral's name for it is "partial internal transcribed spacer region". The stretch from base 1 to 46 matches the Rfam family "Eukaryotic small subunit ribosomal RNA", at positions 1786 to 1831 of the family's 1831-position model. The record is from RNAcentral. Lineage: Eukaryota; Fungi.